This 179-nucleotide ribosomal RNA is filed under the name uncultured bacterium. RNAcentral's name for it is "partial 16S ribosomal RNA". It matches the Rfam family "Bacterial small subunit ribosomal RNA", at positions 1322 to 1500 of the family's 1533-position model. The record is from RNAcentral.
GAAGCCGGAAUUGCUAGUAAUGGCAGGUCAGCAUACUGCCGUGAAUACGUUCCCGGGCCUUGUACACACCGCCCGUCACACCAUGAGAGUUGGGGAUACCCAAAGCCCGUGAGCCAACUUAUAAAGAGGCAGCGGUCUAAGGUAGAAUCAAUGAUUGGGUGAAGUCGUAACAAGGUAUC